This 754-nucleotide ribosomal RNA is filed under the name Escherichia coli. Its description in RNAcentral is "bacterial LSU rRNA". It matches the Rfam family "Bacterial large subunit ribosomal RNA", at positions 1 to 788 of the family's 2925-position model. The record is from RNAcentral. Lineage: Bacteria; Pseudomonadati; Pseudomonadota; Gammaproteobacteria; Enterobacterales; Enterobacteriaceae.
GGGUUGUGAGGUUAAGCGACUAAGCGUACACGGUGGAUGCCCUGGCAGUCAGAGGCGAUGAAGGACGUGCUAAUCUGCGAUAAGCGUCGGUAAGGUGAUAUGAACCGUUAUAACCGGCGAUUUCCGAAUGGGGAAACCCAGUGUGAUUUGUCACACUAUCAUUAACUGAAUCCAUAGGUUAAUGAGGCGAACCGGGGGAACUGAAACAUCUAAGUACCCCGAGGAAAAGAAAUCAACCGAGAUUCCCCCAGUAGCGGCGAGCGAACGGGGAGGAGCCCAGAGCCUGAAUCAGUGUGUGUGUUAGUGGAAGCGUCUGGAAAGGCGCGCGAUACAGGGUGACAGCCCCGUACACAAAAAUGCACAUACUGUGAGCUCGAUGAGUAGGGCGGGACACGUGGUAUCCUGUCUGAAUAUGGGGGGACCAUCCUCCAAGGCUAAAUACUCCUGACUGACCGAUAGUGAACCAGUACCGUGAGGGAAAGGCGAAAAGAACCCCGGCGAGGGGAGUGAAAAAGAACCUGAAACCGUGUACGUACAAGCAGUGGGAGCCUCUUUAUGGGGUGACUGCGUACCUUUUGUAUAAUGGGUCAGCGACUUAUAUUCUGUAGCAAGGUUAACCGAAUAGGGGAGCCGAAGGGAAACCGAGUCUUAACUGGGCGUUAAGUUGCAGGGUAUAGACCCGAAACCCGGUGAUCUAGCCAUGGGCAGGUUGAAGGUUGGGGUAACACUAACUGGAGGACCGAACCGACUAAUG